UCUAUUUAUAAUAAAAUUGUUGGGG
This 25-nucleotide non-coding RNA is filed under the name Cricetulus griseus (Chinese hamster). The record is from RNAcentral. Lineage: Eukaryota; Metazoa; Chordata; Mammalia; Rodentia; Cricetidae.